RNAcentral lists this unclassified non-coding RNA (253 nucleotides) under uncultured Rhodobacterales bacterium. RNAcentral describes it as "contains 16S-23S intergenic spacer region". It matches the Rfam family "Bacterial small subunit ribosomal RNA", at positions 524 to 776 of the family's 1533-position model. The record is from RNAcentral. Lineage: Bacteria; Pseudomonadati; Pseudomonadota; Alphaproteobacteria; Rhodobacterales.
UACGGAGGGGGUUAGCGUUGUUCGGAAUUACUGGGCGUAAAGCGCGCGUAGGCGGAUCAGAAAGUUGGGGGUGAAAUCCCGGGGCUCAACCCCGGAACGGCCUCCAAAACUCCUGGUCUUGAGUUCGAGAGAGGUGAGUGGAAUUCCGAGUGUAGAGGUGAAAUUCGUAGAUAUUCGGAGGAACACCAGUGGCGAAGGCGGCUCACUGGCUCGAUACUGACGCUGAGGCGCGAAAGCGUAGGUAGCGAACAGG